This 5379-nucleotide long non-coding RNA is filed under the name Zea mays. RNAcentral's name for it is "long non-coding RNA (ZMAY_LNC005258)". Lineage: Eukaryota; Viridiplantae; Streptophyta; Magnoliopsida; Poales; Poaceae. The record is from RNAcentral.
UAAGAGAAAGGAUGUAGAAGACAUUAUUUGUAGUGUAUAAGUUAGUUUGUUUUAAUUGAUUUUAAUACCAAAACUCAUUUUUUUAUAACACAAAUCAUCAGGUGAUUAGGAAAGCAUGAGUAUAUAUGGGUAUAGCCACUUUAUUAUGCAGGAUAGAAGAUAUUUUUUUAAAGCAUAUAUAGGUUUGGGUAAGAAAGAGUAGGGUAAGACAAGACUCCAUCCAAAAUUUGUGGAUCUUGGUUCAUCUUGGUGACCUCACUUGAUCCUUGAAGACUUGAGUUGGUGCUCAUUCUCCCUUGAUGAAGUUGAUCAUCUUCUUCGGUCUUGUCUCAUUGAUUAAGAGUUAGUGUAUAUUAUCGGGCUGGGGAAUAUGGUUAAGAUAGAUAUGGAUGAGAUAGACUACGUGAUGUAGAUUAAAAUUUGUGUGAUGUUAGGUGGGGAUAGGCAGAUCAUGCAAUCCAUCAAGACUCUAUUGGUUGGGUUGGUUUCUCAUUCUUUAUUUAGUGUAGGGUGAACUAAGUUAAAACAUGUGGAGAGGGUCUAAUCUAUUUCACCAGUAUUAAUUAUCAUAUUUAAGUAGCCACACUAGAUUAGAUCAUAUGAGAUUAGAUGGGAUCUAGAUUAGAUUGGAUAUGGCUAGAUGAGACUAGUUAAAGUUAGAUAGAUCUUCCUGGGUAGGAUAUAUUUUAUCAGGAUAUGUUAAAAAUCUCUGUUAGGUUAAAACAGAGGGGUUAUGCAACUAUCUGAUGGGUAAGGUAGUUGCAUAUGGUUAGGUGGUUGUAUAUGGUAAAGUUAGUCUAGGGCACCAAUUUUAGGUUAGAUUGGUAUAACUAGAUUAGACUAGAUAGGAUCUCAUAAAUUUUAAUUAGAUCAUGGUUGUUAUUCUUAGAGUGGGAUAAAUAUUCAAUUUAGGGCAAGAUGAAUCCAUAAGAUAAGAUAGAAUCUUUCGAGGUCAGUUAGGUCUAUUAGGAUGAGAUAAAAUCUUUUCAAGAUAAGAUGAGUAUCUUUUAAGAUGAGAUGGAUCUAUUAAGGUAAGGAAGAAUCUUUUAAGAUAAGAUGAAUUGGUUAGAAUGAGAGCUUUUAUGAUAAGAUAAAUCUCUUAAGCUAGAUAUGUUCCAAUGGGGAUAAUCUAGGUUGUCUAGUUAUUUUGUAAAUAUAUUUUUAUACCUAUGUGUAUAUGCAGAUGCAAUUGUGGACAUUACUCCACAACCCAUCACACUCAAUCAAAGAUCCAAAUCAAACAAGUAUCAUAAUAACAAACAUUCAAAUACAUAGACACUUAUAAAAAUAGUUUUGUUUUUGUUCCUAGGAUUAGGUCUCCUAUUCCUAAAGUCACUUUAGGCACAGGAUUUCAUAGUGUGAAAUCCACAUUUGUUCUUAGAAAGAUAAAGGUAAGAAUAAUCAGAGUAAAGCGGAAAUAGAUGAGAAAGGAUUAAGAAAAGUUUAGAAAAGAAUCAGAGUAGCAAAGGUAAGUAGAUAAUGGUUGUCCAGUUCUAUCUAGGUUUCGUCCUACAGUCAACAUUCCUCUGAUACCACUUCUGUAACACCCGGAUUUUAGGGGUCCAAAACCCGGGGUUAACAUAAACACCAGGUAUGCUGGGACCAAGUCUCAAACAUAUGAUGUAUAGUGGCACAGGAUCGAAUGUCACAACUUUAUAUAUAACAGGAGUUCUAUACAAAUAAAUAGUUACAUUAUAAGGAGACAACAGUCCAGCAACCCAAAGUUGACUGGGAGACGACGACCUAGACCUCUCACGAACUCAUCACCGCAUCCUCCAUGAGCAUCAUCCUGCAGUACCUGGUCUUGACCUGUGGUGUAUGUGAGACAGCAAGAGUGAGCUCACAUACGUUCAUCGCUCAGCAAGUUGUGGGGAAUAAUGUGCAUGAACUCGCCAAAGGUGGGAGCUCACGUGAAGUGUAAGGCUUACCAAAGAAGAUGGUUAGAGCUGAGCAUUGCUUUUAAAGUUGGUCAAAAUUUUAUUAGCAGUUACUAAGUAUAAGUAAAUACCAACCCAGUUAAAUAGUAGAACCAAAGUAACCACAUCACCUGCAAUGCAAUGCAUAUGACAAAUUGAGUUUAGUUCCAUAAAUUAAUCAUGUGAGUGUCCGAGCCGCUCAUGACCGUGAGCACGGCUAGUAUACCAGUUUUACACUCUGCAGAGGUUGCGCAUCUUUACCCACAAGUCGUGUAUCCCAUGUCGCCAGGGUUUGCAAGGCCCUAAGACACUUCCGAGGUGAAUGGCUAGGGAUCCACUACGAGGCCUUUACAAAGUUCCACUAGCUUCCGAAAACCCGCUACAGUUUAUAGGAAGAUCCAGUACAGGAAUCCCUUGCAGGACCGCCAUCGCAGCAAAAUCCUCCCGAGGGCACUUCCCGCACUGACCUCUCCCCUACUGCCCUUGCCCCUUUCGGGUAAGGUAGUCUUCCACUAGCUUUCCUAAUUAAUCAGCCAAGGGCGUCCCAUUAAACCCUUGUGGUAGCACUGUUUUCCCGGGUGGUUCUCCAUGUUCCAAUUAACAUAAUGAUCUUAACAUGAACCAUAAAUAACAACUGAUAACAAAAGUAUAAUCAUGAAUAGUGUAAUCUUCAUACCCAAAACCACAUAUAGCACUAGCAAGUACUACCCAGAAAGUUCAGUGGUAAACAAGGUAUAAAGAUAGACAAACUAGGGUAACCUAUUGGGUCCCAUCAAAAUUAACCUAUGCAGAUCAUUAUGAUUAAUUAGAACAUGAGUAGGUAAAAAGAAGUGAUCAAGGGCACAACUUGCCUGGGCCUUGAGAUUCCAGGUACCAGGAUGAUCUUCAGGUGAUACGUAUCCUCACUGCUAGUCGUAGCAAUUCAAACAAACAUGGUAUAGGCAAAAUUAACAUUACACCAAACAUAAGAACAAAAUACAUAUUAUUAAUUUACAUAUUAAAAUAAGAUCAUAGGAACAGGAAUCAUUAAUUUUGGAGUUGUAGAAUUCAACUUAUGAAUUACCUAAGAUUUUAGGUGAUUAUAAUAUGAUUAAAUGAUAAAUAAAUUUUCUGGCAGAGUUCAUGUCAAAACAGUGAUUCUAAAUGGUAGAGAAUAUUAUUACAAAAUUUUUGGAAUUGGAAUGACUCAAUUUGGAGCUAAAAUGAAUUAGUUAUGAAUUAAUUAAGUUUCUGGAUUUAUUUUAACACUAAAAAUCAUUUUCUAAAUCAUUUUCUAUGAUUUUAUAACUCUCUGGACUGGUCCUCAUUUUCAGAAAACCGCAGGGGGCUUGGCGCAAAUAAACCUAAGACUCAGGCUACACCCGCACAGGACGGCGGGUUGAUUUGACCAAAGCCCGAGGGCUCUUUAGCAAAUAGCACCCGCGAAGAGGUAAGAUCUAAUGUGAGCCGCACGAUCUAAAGUCUAUGGCCUAGAUUAGAUCGCCUAAAACCGAACCGGUAUGCAGCCAUAGUCCCAGGAUCUGAAUCCGACGGUCACGUUUUAAUGAACCCGCGAUCGGAUUUCUACCGUAUAUCGCGAGAUCAACGGUCCGAGUUCUUCCUAGCUGAAGAGGUAGCUACCAUCUAAUCUUGGCCGCCCAUCAUCAGAUCAACGGCCACGGCGCAUCCGCACCCCUGACGGCUACCCACGGCGGCGAGAAUCCACCAAAUCCCCCCCCCCACGGCGGCGCUAAGGACGGCGUGGUGAAAUUCGGCCCGACCAGGGCCCCUCCGUUCGAUUAACUGACAUAGAACAACAAUUGAACCGAGGCGAACACGGUGAGGUGAGUUACCGGGUAGAUAGACCACUGGCGGAGGCAGGCCACGGCGGAGGGCGGAAAUACCCGAAGUCGAGACUCCGGUGAGGAAUUCGUCGUGCACCGGUCACCAAUUCCGCACGUGGAGGCCCCGGUUAUGUUCGCCGCACCCAGAUGAGCUGCCAAGACUUCACAAUGACUCGUAGACGACGGUGGCCAAGCGAUUCAAGGGUGGCGGCCGAAAACCUUCCGCAAGCGUAGCAACGGCGCACGGCAAUCGGUGCAAGCGGAUGAGGAGGGAAGGAGGAGGCCGCGGCACGAUGCUUUUAUACCCGGGAGAGCACGGAAUCGCUGUACCGGCUAACGGAGCCGCUGCCGAGAUUCACGCGCGCGCGAUCGGCGAGGUUUGUUGAAGACGAACCCGACAAGCGGGCCCCGCGGAUCAGCGAAAGAAGCAGGGAGGAGUGAGCGCGGUCGUGGGAGGCCGACGAGUGGGGUCCGCGAGACAGUGACCAGGCGUGCGCGUGAGAGGCUGGGCAGGGGGCCCCACCUGUCGGCGCCGUGGGGAAGGUUAAUGGGCCGCGCGAAGGAAAUUCAAAGUUGGGCCGAGAUGGGUAGAGGUCGGCCCAUGUGGCUUUUAUUCUUUUUUUUCUUUUUAUUUUCUAUUUUCUUUUCUCCAUUUUCAAAUCCAAUUUUGAGUUCAAGUUUAAAUUCAAACUUUGUGAAUAACUUGUCCUCAGUUUGAAUGGUAUAAUUUAAUAAUAUAAGUGUGAAGGAUGUUUAUUCUGAUUUUUAUUUUAUUUUAUGUAGUAUUUUCUUUAGUUCUUCCCUUCCCAUUUAUUUUCUAUUUUCUAUUCCAAAUUCAAAUUUAUACUUCUAUUUUAGUUUUCAGAUUUUCAAAUAUAUCAAUUGGAAUCCAAAGGUGAAUAUAAACCAAAUUAUUUUAUUAUUACUAGUUUAAGUUUUAUUCUCCUUGUUUAUUUAUUUCAUGAAAUGUAUAAAUGGUUUUAAAAAAAAUUCUUUUUCUCCUCAUUUUCUUAUUUCCCAAUGAUACUUUGUUCAGAUUUCUUCUACCAAUUCCAAAUUCAGAAUUUGGGUGUUACAAAUCCUACCCCCCUUAAAAAUAAUCUCGUCCUCGAGAUUUGUAAGAGAAAGGAUGUAGAAGACAUUAUUUGUAGUGUAUAAGUUAGUUUGUUUUAAUUGAUUUUAAUACCAAAACUCAUUUUUUUAUAACACAAAUCAUCAGGUGAUUAGGAAAGCAUGAGUAUAUAUGGGUAUAGCCACUUUAUUAUGCAGGAUAGAAGAUAUUUUUUUAAAGCAUAUAUAGGUUUGGGUAAGAAAGAGUAGGGUAAGACAAGACUCCAUCCAAAAUUUGUGGAUCUUGGUUCAUCUUGGUGACCUCACUUGAUCCUUGAAGACUUGAGUUGGUGCUCAUUCUCCCUUGAUGAAGUUGAUCAUCUUCUUCGGUCUUGUCUCAUUGAUUAAGAGUUAGUGUAUAUUAUCGGGCUGGGGAAUAUGGUUAAGAUAGAUAUGGAUGAGAUAGACUACGUGAUGUAGAUUAAAAUUUGUGUGAUGUUAGGUGGGGAUAGGCAGAUCAUGCAAUCCAUCAAGACUCUAUUGGUUGGGUUGGUUUCUCAUUCUUUAUUUAGUGUAGGGUGAACUAAGUU